RNAcentral lists this ribosomal RNA (556 nucleotides) under uncultured Glomus. Its description in RNAcentral is "eukaryotic LSU rRNA". The stretch from base 156 to 309 matches the Rfam family "5.8S ribosomal RNA". Lineage: Eukaryota; Fungi; Glomeromycota; Glomeromycetes; Glomerales; Glomeraceae. The record is from RNAcentral.
GGAAGUAAAAGUCGUAACAAGGUUUCCGUAGGUGAACCUGCGGAAGGAUCAUUACUGAUUUAGCGAACCGAGCAUUAGCGAGGUUUUGCGAUCAAUUUAUAUUUAAAACCCACUCUUUAAUGUAUAAAAUUUGUAUUAAUGAUAAAUUAAAAGAUCACUUUCAACAACGGAUCUCUUGGCUCUCGCAUCGAUGAAGAACGUAGCGAAGUGCGAUAAGUAAUGUGAAUUGCAGUAUUCCGUGAAUCAUCGAAUCUUUGAACGCAUAUUGCACUUUCUGGUAUUCCGGAAAGUAUGCCUGUUUGAGGGUCAGUUAAAUAAAAAUCGGUGUUGUUGCUGCCUUCCGUGGUGACGCGUCGGAAUUGAGUUGUCUUACCUUCGGUUAAGUGGCUUAAAAUUUUGCACGAUUUUCGAACGUAUUUAAAUUUUUUUGUACGUGAGAUAUCGAAUAUUUUAUUAGGUUCGGUUAUCCUCAUGACUCGCGCCUAUAAUUUUCAUUAAAUGACCUCAAAUCAGGUAAGAAUACCCGCUGAACUUAAGCAUAUCAAUAAGCGGAGGA